RNAcentral lists this ribosomal RNA (486 nucleotides) under uncultured bacterium. RNAcentral's name for it is "partial 16S ribosomal RNA". It matches the Rfam family "Bacterial small subunit ribosomal RNA", at positions 30 to 507 of the family's 1533-position model. The record is from RNAcentral.
AUUGAACGCUGGCGGCAUGCCUAACACAUGCAAGUCGAACGGCAGCACGGUAACUUGUUGCUCGUGCCGAUGGCCAAACGCGGGAGUAUUAGAUAGGCACAUGAACCUAAUUGUUGGAUGGGGAGAACGAAGCGAAACUUAUACUGCAACCGCACAACGGCUGAGAGUGAAGGCACUUCAUGCUCCGCCCUUGCGCGUUUGCAGAUGGCGGAUUAGCUAGUUGGUGGGGUAAAGGCCUACCAAGGCGACGAUCAGUAGCUGGUCUGAGAGGACGACCAGCCACACUGGAACUGAGACACGGCCCAGACUCCUACGGGAGGCAGCAGUGGGGAAUAUUGGACAAUGGGCGAAAGCCUGAUCCAGCCAUGCCGCGUGUGUGAAGAAGGCCUUCGGGUUGUAAAGCACUUUUGUCGGGAAAGAAAACCAGGGGCCUAAUACCGCGGGGUGAUGACGGUACCGGAAGAAUAAGCACCGGCUAACUACGUG